UAACACAAAAAAUUAAAACAACUAGAAUACAAGAACUAUGCGAUUACAAUCAUCAAAACAAUUUUGAACAUGUAAUGCAUCAUCCUACGAGCGUCUUUGUCGGUCUUAAUAUCCACCCAUUCACGCACUUCUCCGUGUUGAUUGAACGUGGACACAAGCCAUUGUAUUCUUCUAAUCCGUUCACCCUCUCCAAUUUCUCCCUCUAACCAACUGUACAACGUCCGAUUAAGACGUUCAAACGUAU
This 244-nucleotide long non-coding RNA is filed under the name Lathyrus oleraceus (garden pea). RNAcentral's name for it is "Pisum sativum (pea) long non-coding RNA (PSAT_LNC022065)". The record is from RNAcentral. Lineage: Eukaryota; Viridiplantae; Streptophyta; Magnoliopsida; Fabales; Fabaceae.